CCUACGGGAGGCAGCAGUGGGGAAUAUUGGACAAUGGGCGAAAGCCUGAUCCAGCCAUGCCGCGUGUGUGAAGAAGGCCUUCGGGUUGUAAAGCACUUUCAGUGGGGAAGAAAGCCUUGGGACUAAUACCCUCGAGGAAGGACAUCACCCACAGAAGAAGCACCGGCUAACUCCGUGCCAGCAGCCGCGGUAAUACGGAGGGUGCGAGCGUUAAUCGGAAUUACUGGGCGUAAAGCGCGCGUAGGCGGUCUGAUAAGCCGGUUGUGAAAGCCCCGGGCUCAACCUGGGAACGGCAUCCGGAACUGUCAGGCUAGAGUGCAGGAGAGGAAGGUAGAAUUCCCGGUGUAGCAGUGAAAUGCGUAGAGAUCGGGAGGAAUACCAGUGGCGAAGGCGGCCUUCUGGACUGACACUGACGCUGAGGUGCGAAAGCGUGGGUAGCAAACAGGAUUAGAUACCCUAGUAGUC
RNAcentral lists this ribosomal RNA (465 nucleotides) under Vreelandella stevensii. RNAcentral describes it as "partial 16S ribosomal RNA". It matches the Rfam family "Bacterial small subunit ribosomal RNA", at positions 338 to 795 of the family's 1533-position model. Lineage: Bacteria; Pseudomonadati; Pseudomonadota; Gammaproteobacteria; Oceanospirillales; Halomonadaceae. The record is from RNAcentral.